This 253-nucleotide ribosomal RNA is filed under the name uncultured bacterium. RNAcentral's name for it is "partial 16S ribosomal RNA". It matches the Rfam family "Bacterial small subunit ribosomal RNA", at positions 524 to 776 of the family's 1533-position model. The record is from RNAcentral.
UACGUAGGGUGCGAGCGUUAAUCGGAAUUACUGGGCGUAAAGCGUGCGCAGGCGGUGGCUCAAGCCAGGCGUGAAAUCCCCGGGCUUAACCUGGGAAUGGCGUUUGGGACUGGGUCGCUAGAGUGUGGCAGAGGGAGGUGGAAUUCCACGUGUAGCAGUGAAAUGCGUAGAGAUGUGGAGGAACACCGCUGGCGAAGGCAGCCUCCUGGGCCAGCACUGACGCUCAUGCCCGAAAGCGUGGGGAGCAAACAGG